This 958-nucleotide small RNA is filed under the name Pan troglodytes (chimpanzee). RNAcentral's name for it is "retained intron". The record is from RNAcentral. Lineage: Eukaryota; Metazoa; Chordata; Mammalia; Primates; Hominidae.
CAUAGUACCCUGUAGCUUUUCAUAGGAAAAACUAGCAGAGCGUGCCUGGCACUUGCAACAUAAAGGUUCUGGGGAGUGGCUGCAGUGAUGCGGCUGUAGAGUCAAAAUCUGCUUGAGGGAAAAUCCCUGAUUAUGCAGAGCAGAUGAGCUUUGGGUUACAUUUUUCCUGGUGCAUGAAUGGGCCACAUGUUUCUAUUUAAGUAGUAUUCCAGCCUGCCUUGUUAAUAUCUUUGUGAAGUGUUUCGUGCCAACACUAAAAAUAUUCUGAUUUUAGGGUACCCAGUUCACACAUUUCACCCAUAAGGAAAUGAAGAUAUCCCUUUCUAGAUUUUUAUAUAAACAGUUUAAGGAAAAGUAUCCGAUAGAAACCAGUGUUUUCAAGAAUUCAACAGUGUCCUUAAAGUUCCCAAGUUACUUUACAAUUUUUUUUUCAUUCUUUAGGCACCAAUAGCCCAAAUGAAUUAAGAACUAUUUCCUACAUAACUUUCUAUUUUCCUCUUUUAACACUUUUAAAAAGGACUAUUUUCAGAAGGACAAUUAUUUUGUACUUUGUGAGAAAAUUUCCAAGGUGUUUAUAUUGUUUUAUGUGUCUGUCAUAGGAAGGAAAAUCACCUCGGCAGUGUUUGAAGGAAGGAUACUGCAACUCUUUGAAGUACGCAUUUUUUGAGUGUAAAAGAUCAGUGUUGGAUAACAGGGCAAGAUUCAGAGGAAGAAAAGGAUAUUGAUGCAUUAUGUUGAAGCCAACAUGGAAAACAACAAAUAUUUUCCCUGGUCAUUAACACAAAGAAGCCAAAACAGGAAACAUACUUUUUACUACAUCUGUUUGGUUGGACCAGAUUUCCCCUCCGUGGAACACUGAAGAAAGUGGAUGAGUUGUUUUCGAAUAUGUAUAAAGUAAAUGAUUCUCUUGAUCCAAGUUAUUUUUAGAAGAAAAACCUAAUUGAACAGGUAUGGGUUG